UACGGGGGGGGCAAGCGUUGUUCGGAAUUACUGGGCGUAAAGGGCGCGUAGGCUGCCUGCUAAGUCACACGUGAAAUCCCUCGGCUCAACCGGGGAACUGCGUGUGAUACUGGCGGGCUUGAAUUCGGGAGAGGGAUGUGGAAUUCCAGGUGUAGCGGUGAAAUGCGUAGAUAUCUGGAGGAACACCGGUGGCGAAGGCGGCAUCCUGGACCGAGAUUGACGCUGAGGCGCGAAAGCUAGGGGAGCAAACGGG
Molecule: ribosomal RNA, 253 nt
Filed under: uncultured bacterium
Lineage: Bacteria
Description: partial 16S ribosomal RNA
Rfam family: Bacterial small subunit ribosomal RNA
Source: RNAcentral